This 1480-nucleotide ribosomal RNA is filed under the name Salmonella enterica subsp. houtenae serovar 53:z4,z23:-. RNAcentral describes it as "partial 23S ribosomal RNA". It matches the Rfam family "Bacterial large subunit ribosomal RNA", at positions 689 to 2149 of the family's 2925-position model. The record is from RNAcentral. Lineage: Bacteria; Pseudomonadati; Pseudomonadota; Gammaproteobacteria; Enterobacterales; Enterobacteriaceae.
UGGGCGUUAAGUUGCAGGGUAUAGACCCGAAACCCGGUGAUCUAGCCAUGGGCAGGUUGAAGGUUGGGUAACACUAACUGGAGGACCGAACCGACUAAUGUUGAAAAAUUAGCGGAUGACCUGUGGCUGGGGGUGAAAGGCCAAUCAAACCGGGAGAUAGCUGGUUCUCCCCGAAAGCUAUUUAGGUAGCGCCUCGUGAAUUCAUCUCCGGGGGUAGAGCACUGUUUCGGCCAGGGGGCCAUCCCGGCUUACCAAUCCGAUGCAAACUGCGAAUACCGGAGAAUGUUAUCACGGGAGACACACGGCGGGUGCUAACGUCCGUCGUGAAGAGGGAAACAACCCAGACCGCCAGCUAAGGUCCCAAAGUCAUGGUUAAGUGGGAAACGAUGUGGGAAGGCCCAGACAGCCAGGAUGUUGGCUUAGAAGCAGCCAUCAUUUAAAGAAAGCGUAAUAGCUCACUGGUCGAGUCGGCCUGCGCGGAAGAUGUAACGGGGCUAAACCAUGCACCGAAGCUGCGGCAGCGACACUGAUGUGUUGUUGGGUAGGGGAGCGUUCUGUAAGCCGUUGAAGGUGGCCUGUGAGGGUUGCUGGAGGUAUCAGAAGUGCGAAUGCUGACAUAAGUAACGAUAAAGCGGGUGAAAAGCCCGCUCGCCGGAAGACCAAGGGUUCCUGUCCAACGUUAAUCGGGGCAGGGUGAGUCGACCCCUAAGGCGAGGCCGAAAGGCGUAGUCGAUGGGAAACGGGUUAAUAUUCCCGUACUUGGUGUUACUGCGAAGGGGGGACGGAGAAGGCUAUGUUGGCCGGGCGACGGUUGUCCCGGUUUAAGCGUGCAGGUGUGUGUUCCAGGUAAAUCCGGUUCACUUUAACACUGAGGCGUGACGACGAGGCACUACGGUGCUGAAGCAACAAAUGCCCUGCUUCCAGGAAAAGCCUCUAAGCCUCAGGUAACAUCAAAUCGUACCCCAAACCGACACAGGUGGUCAGGUAGAGAAUACCAAGGCGCUUGAGAGAACUCGGGUGAAGGAACUAGGCAAAAUGGUGCCGUAACUUCGGGAGAAGGCACGCUGACACGUAGGUGAAGUGGUUUACCCAUGGAGCUGAAGUCAGUCGAAGAUACCAGCUGGCUGCAACUGUUUAUUAAAAACACAGCACUGUGCAAACACGAAAGUGGACGUAUACGGUGUGACGCCUGCCCGGUGCCGGAAGGUUAAUUGAUGGGGUCAGCGCAAGCGAAGCUCCUGAUCGAAGCCCCGGUAAACGGCGGCCGUAACUAUAACGGUCCUAAGGUAGCGAAAUUCCUUGUCGGGUAAGUUCCGACCUGCACGAAUGGCGUAAUGAUGGCCAGGCUGUCUCCACCCGGGACUCAGUGAAAUUGAACUCGCUGUGAAGAUGCAGUGUACCCGCGGCAAGACGGAAAGACCCCGUGAACCUUUACUAUAGCUUGACACUGAACACUGGUCCUUGAUGUGCAGGAUAGGUG